UACGUAGGGCGCAAGCGUUGUCCGGAAUUAUUGGGCGUAAAGAGCUCGUAGGCGGCUUGUCACGUCGAUUGUGAAAGCCCGAGGCUUAACCUCGGGUCUGCAGUCGAUACGGGCUAGCUAGAGUGUGGUAGGGGAGAUCGGAAUUCCUGGUGUAGCGGUGAAAUGCGCAGAUAUCGGAAGGAACACCAGUGGCGAAAGCGGCUUCCUGGUCCAGCACCGACGUUCAGGCACGAAGGCGUGGGGAGCAAACAGG
RNAcentral lists this ribosomal RNA (253 nucleotides) under uncultured bacterium. RNAcentral describes it as "partial 16S ribosomal RNA". It matches the Rfam family "Bacterial small subunit ribosomal RNA", at positions 524 to 776 of the family's 1533-position model. The record is from RNAcentral.